This 77-nucleotide transfer RNA is filed under the name Desulfobacterales bacterium. RNAcentral's name for it is "tRNA-Met". It matches the Rfam family "tRNA". From Rfam's summary of the family: Transfer RNA (tRNA) molecules are approximately 80 nucleotides in length. Lineage: Bacteria; Pseudomonadati; Thermodesulfobacteriota; Desulfobacteria; Desulfobacterales. The record is from RNAcentral. RNAcentral also lists the same sequence under 1 other name.
UGCGGGGUGGAGCAGUCUGGUAGCUCGUCGGGCUCAUAACCCGAAGGUCAUAGGUUCGAAUCCUGUCCCCGCUACCA